UGUACAAUGUCUGCCCCUGCGCUCUGACCCCCAGGUUCUCUCUCUCUCCCUGUCUGUGUGUCUCCUGGAGAGCCAGCUGGGGUCUGCGACAGGACCAGUUCCUCAUGCAAGACAUUGUAUAGGAAGCCUGGAUGUCCGGGAAAGACGUCAUGGGGAGUUUGAGGGCGGCGCUAUCCAUUCUCAUCCGAUCUGCAGUAAGGGGGUAGGAUACUUUCAUAUUACCCGUGGGGUCUCCUUUUCACAUUCCACCUGGUUUUGCGGGGGGCUGUACAAAUUGUUUUAGCGCUAUAAGUGUGUCCAGGAUGUGUUUUUUUCCUCCGGGGCAGGUUUUGGUAGGUAUUUUGACGGCGCCGCUUAAUGCCGCCACUCACGACAACAAGAGCUCCGGUCCCGCCGCGCUGCAGUCGGAAUUGAAAGUUGAGCACACGCGUAGAUAACAAAAUAACCGGUUAAAUGUGUAAAAAAAAA
Lepisosteus oculatus (spotted gar) is the source of this 468-nucleotide non-coding RNA. NCBI's taxonomy places the organism in Eukaryota, Metazoa, Chordata, Actinopteri, Semionotiformes, Lepisosteidae. The record is from RefSeq and is a predicted model, not a curated record.